GGGUUGUGAGGUUAAGCGACUAAGCGUACACGGUGGAUGCCCUGGCAGUCAGAGGCGAUGAAGGGCGUACUAAUCUGCGAUAAGCGCCGGUAAGGUGAUAUGAACCGUUAUAACCGGCGAUACCCGAAUGGGGAAACCCAGUGUGAUUCGUCACACUAUCAUUAACUGAAUCCAUAGGUUAAUGAGGCGAACCGGGGGAACUGAAACAUCUAAGUACCCCGAGGAAAAGAAAUCAACCGAGAUUCCCCCAGUAGCGGCGAGCGAACGGGGAGGAGCCCAGAGCCUGAAUCAGCAUGUGUGUUAGUGGAAGCGUCUGGAAAGACGCGCGAUACAGGGUGACAGCCCCGUACACAAAAGCGUAUGUGCUGUGAGCUCGAUGAGUAGGGCGGGACACGUGGUAUCCUGUCUGAAUAUGGGGGGACCAUCCUCCAAGGCUAAAUACUCCUGACUGACCGAUAGUGAACCAGUACCGUGAGGGAAAGGCGAAAAGAACCCCGGCGAGGGGAGUGAAAAAGAACCUGAAACCGUGUACGUACAAGCAGUGGGAGCACAGGUUUACC
This 560-nucleotide ribosomal RNA is filed under the name Salmonella enterica. RNAcentral's name for it is "partial 23S ribosomal RNA". It matches the Rfam family "Bacterial large subunit ribosomal RNA", at positions 1 to 589 of the family's 2925-position model. The record is from RNAcentral. Lineage: Bacteria; Pseudomonadati; Pseudomonadota; Gammaproteobacteria; Enterobacterales; Enterobacteriaceae.